RNAcentral lists this ribosomal RNA (267 nucleotides) under uncultured Enterobacterales bacterium. Its description in RNAcentral is "partial 16S ribosomal RNA". It matches the Rfam family "Bacterial small subunit ribosomal RNA", at positions 529 to 794 of the family's 1533-position model. The record is from RNAcentral. Lineage: Bacteria; Pseudomonadati; Pseudomonadota; Gammaproteobacteria; Enterobacterales.
AGGGUGCAAGCGUUAAUCGGAAUUACAGGGCGUAAAGCGCACGCAGGCGGUUUGUUAAGUCAGAUGUGAAAUCCCCGGGCUCAACCUGGGAACUGCAUCUGAUACUGGCAAGCUUGAGUCUCGUAGAGGGGGGUAGAAUUCCAGGUGUAGCAGGUGAAAUGCGUAGAGAUCUGGAGGAAUGCCGGUGGCGAAGGCGGCCCCCUGGACGAAGACUGACGCUCAGGUGCGAAAGCGUGGGGAGCAAACAGGAUUAGAUACCCUGGUAGU